RNAcentral lists this ribosomal RNA (515 nucleotides) under uncultured bacterium. RNAcentral describes it as "bacterial SSU rRNA". It matches the Rfam family "Bacterial small subunit ribosomal RNA", at positions 1 to 507 of the family's 1533-position model. The record is from RNAcentral.
ACAGUCACACGUAGUUUGAUCAUGGCUCAGAUUGAACGCUGGCGGCAUGCUUUACACAUGCAAGUCGAACGGCAGCGGGUCCGUUCGGGAUGCCGGCGAGUGGCGAACGGGUGAGUAAUGCAUCGGAACGUACCGUGUAAGUGGGGGAUAACGUAGCGAAAGUUACGCUAAUACCGCAUACGCCCUGAGGGGAAAGCGGGGGAUCGCAAGACCUCGCGUUAUACGAGCGGCCGAUGUCGGAUUAGCUAGUUGGUGGGGUAAAGGCCCACCAAGGCGACGAUCCGUAGCGGGUCUGAGAGGAUGAUCCGCCACACUGGGACUGAGACACGGCCCAGACUCCUACGGGAGGCAGCAGUGGGGAAUUUUGGACAAUGGGCGAAAGCCUGAUCCAGCCAUUCCGCGUGCAGGAUGAAGGCCCUCGGGUUGUAAACUGCUUUUGUACGGAACGAAACGGCCUUUUCUAAUACAGAGGGCUAAUGACGGUACCGUAAGAAUAAGCACCGGCUAACUACGUG